Molecule: ribosomal RNA, 466 nt
Filed under: uncultured bacterium
Lineage: Bacteria
Description: partial 16S ribosomal RNA
Rfam family: Bacterial small subunit ribosomal RNA
Source: RNAcentral
GACGAACGCUGGCGGCGCGCCUAACACAUGCGAGUCGAACGAGCGAGAGAGAGCUUGCUUUCUCGAGCGAGUGGCGAACGGGUGAGUAACGCGUGAGGAACCUGCCUCAAAGAGGGGGACAACAGUUGGAAACGACUGCUCAUACCGCAUAAGCCCACGGCUCGGCAUCGAGCAGGGGGAAAAGGAGCAAUCCGCUUUGAGAUGGCCUCGCGUCCGAUUAGCUAGUUGGUGAGGUAACGGCCCACCAAGGCGACGAUCGGUAGCCGGACUGAGAGGUUGAACGGCCACAUUGGGACUGAGACACGGCCCAGACUCCUACGGGAGGCAGCAGUGGGGAAUAUUGCACAAUGGGGGAAACCCUGAUGCAGCGACGCCGCGUGGAGGAAGAAGGUCUUCGGAUUGUAAACUCCUGUUGUUGGGGAAGAUAAUGACGGUACCCAACAAGGAAGUGACGGCUAACUACGUG